Molecule: RNA transcript, 2416 nt
Organism: Oncorhynchus kisutch (coho salmon)
Lineage: Eukaryota; Metazoa; Chordata; Actinopteri; Salmoniformes; Salmonidae
Exons: 5
Source: RefSeq, a predicted model, not a curated record
UGUACGAGUGACGAAUUUCCGGGCCAGGAUGGUCCAUUUAAAAUGAAUUCCUUCCUUCCUCCCUCGCCCUGCAAGUGUAAACUCGCCAGACGUCAUGAUAAGUCAUCAGAAGUGUCCACUGAAUUUGAGGGCUGAGGGGAGAGUGUGUUUUUAAUGCAGCCUUUAUUGUACAAUCCUUACUGUUGACCAAUCACCGACGAAGUGGCUUAGACUUCGGCUUGCCUCUAGAAAAAAAUGUUGUGUGCCCGAACAACAGACCGAAAGGGUAAACCAGAGACGUCUUAGGGGCUAUAAAGCUGAAGCGUCCCUUUAGAAUGGUAGUGAGAGAAAAUCCAGUCGCGGGUAGUGGGAGCGGAUGGAAAUAGCGGAAACUGGGCCGACAUAAUGCUAAUUUUGUCGUCGAUGAAACAUCUGAUCUCAAUACAAUUUGAAUGUACCAAAAGUACAAUAUGUUACGAGCACAGUGCGCUAAGUUUUAUAGACUUGAAGAUUUGCCGAAGUUUUAAAAAAUUGCGUUCAGGAGUGCAAGGGUCGAAUUGAGUUUGUGCUUGGCUUUGCCCACUAUGCUCAUACUGUAAACAGCACAGAUGAACUAACUUCGUUUUGGAAACAAUUUCCAAAAGCCUAAAUGUCAUAAUAUAUGCACGAAUUUUCCAAACUGUUCGGCUGGGAAGAAUCCCUGGUUCAUCGUCCGUGCUUCAGCUGAUGACACCGAACAUGGAAAGACUGACUGAGACGGGCAAACCCCACUCCGUUGCCAGCAACAUUGCAUAGCAAUAUUGCCCCCCAGAAAUGGCCAGUGUAUCAUUAGCCGUCACAUGCACAGCCUUUGGCACGGAAAAAACUCAGCUGGGAGAGUAAAAGUAUCCCGUUCAAUGGUGUUCCGUUUCAAGUUGUUGGCACAAAGACGUAUGAAUGCCACCAGGGCAAAGACAGACAGACAAAAGCCAAAGAGAAAUAUGCUGCUGAAAGAGACAAGAAGGAACUUGAAGACCAUACCUUUGUAAAGAGACGGAAACUGGUACAAAAUACCAAAAAGGUGGACUGCAAGGCUAUAAUAAACAUCGCUCACAUUAUUCGCUUUCCUGAUUUUAAGAUUGAGGAAAGUACAGUGCGCUCUAAAAAGGAGGCCUCCCAAACUCUGAAGGCAGCACUAAGUGAAACACCCAGCUCCGUGAAGGCAGAGGUUGUCUACUGCGUCAGGUUCCCCUCCCUUUCUGAGCACAGCUCACAUGCAGUUGUUGGCGAGGCAGCUCAUGUUAGGGAAGCUGUAGAUGCCAGGCUGAGAGAGAAGAUUGAGCAGCUGACUCUGUCUGGUGUGAGAAAGAUGACUGAAAUGAAGUGUCAUCUGAACACCUUUGUAGUGGAAGAGCUUUUCCAUGGAGAGCAGCCCCCUCCACCUACUCGCAGGCGCUAUUACCCCACUGACAGUGACAUAAGAAAUGUCAUGUUUAAGACCAAGCGGGCCACCGGAGACUCCAAUAUUGACCGUCCAUACGAAGGUCCAUCUGGAAGAGGAAAGAAGAGGUCCUCUAGGAAGCUGUUGCGGUUACGGAGGCAAUGUGCAGGAUAUCUUAAAGAGAUCACAGAACUCACUUACCAUCUCGAAGAGGAACAGUACGUGACUGACCUGUCUUCACAGCUCAGAAGCAUGUUGCUGGAUAUGAAGGCCCAUGUUCCACAGGAUAAAGACCUUCCACUGACCUUUUCUUCAAGGAAGAGAAAAUCUGAGAUGGACAUGGACCUCAUUCCAACCAAGAGUGCAUCACACCCUUUCAUAGAUGGGUUAGAACAGCAUACAGAGGACAUAGUGAGUGUGGAUACCUUGUUGGCAUUGAGCCUAGGUUAGUAGGGCUGAGUGGAUACCUUGUUGGCAUUGAGCCUAGGUUAGUAGGGCUGAGUGGAUACCUUGUUGGCAUUGAGCCUAGGUUAGUAGGGCUGCGUGGAUACCUUGUUGGUAUUUAGCCUAGGGUAGUAGGGCUGCAUGGAUACCUUUUUGGCAUUGAGCCUAGGUUUGUACGGCUGAGUGGAUACGUUGUUGGUAUUUAGCCUAGGGCUGAUGACUGUGGGUUCUGCCACCAAUUGAGUAUAUUUUGGGUAGUGUAACUUUUAUUUCAACUAAUGUUAAUGUAACGGAUGUGAAAUGGCUAGCUAGAUUUAAAGUUAUACUGUUACAUUAACAACUUCAUAAAAACAUGUUUUCUCAUCUCAAGAUGUAAAACAAAUACAUGACUAUAGUAAGUCAUUUAGGAGGCAUAUAAACACACUGUUCCACUCAUCUGCAGCUACUCUGCACUUUAUUGUAUUAUGGUCUGUCCUGAUGCCUAGUCACUUUACUCUGCACAUUUAUCUCCUUGAUCUGGUACUUCCUGUAUAUAGUCGCACAUUGAUCUGGUACUGGUAAUCCCUGUAUAUA